RNAcentral lists this ribosomal RNA (408 nucleotides) under Bacillus sp. (in: firmicutes). Its description in RNAcentral is "bacterial SSU rRNA". It matches the Rfam family "Bacterial small subunit ribosomal RNA", at positions 171 to 565 of the family's 1533-position model. Lineage: Bacteria; Bacillati; Bacillota; Bacilli; Caryophanales; Bacillaceae. The record is from RNAcentral.
GGAUAGUUCCUUGAACCGCAUGGUUCAAGGAUGAAAGACGGUUUCGGCUGUCACUUACAGAUGGACCCGCGGCGCAUUAGCUAGUUGGUGGGGUAAUGGCUCACCAAGGCGACGAUGCGUAGCCGACCUGAGAGGGUGAUCGGCCACACUGGGACUGAGACACGGCCCAGACUCCUACGGGAGGCAGCAGUAGGGAAUCUUCCGCAAUGGACGAAAGUCUGACGGAGCAACGCCGCGUGAGUGAUGAAGGUUUUCGGAUCGUAAAGCUCUGUUGUUAGGGAAGAACAAGUGCGAGAGUAACUGCUCGCACCUUGACGGUACCUAACCAGAAAGCCACGGCUAACUACGUGCCAGCAGCCGCGGUAAUACGUAGGUGGCAAGCGUUGUCCGGAAUUAUUGGGCGUAAAG